CCUGAGAGAUGAUCAGGUUGAUAGGCUUUAAGUAUAAGCGCAGUAAUGCGUUAAGCUGAGAAGUACUAAUGUUUCGAUU
RNAcentral lists this ribosomal RNA (79 nucleotides) under Candidatus Nomurabacteria bacterium RIFCSPLOWO2_12_FULL_41_10. RNAcentral's name for it is "partial 23S ribosomal RNA". It matches the Rfam family "Bacterial large subunit ribosomal RNA", at positions 2836 to 2912 of the family's 2925-position model. Lineage: Bacteria; Candidatus Nomuraibacteriota. The record is from RNAcentral.